Molecule: ribosomal RNA, 563 nt
Filed under: Papiliotrema aspenensis
Lineage: Eukaryota; Fungi; Basidiomycota; Tremellomycetes; Tremellales; Rhynchogastremaceae
Description: partial large subunit ribosomal RNA
Rfam family: Eukaryotic large subunit ribosomal RNA
Source: RNAcentral
AGUACGGCGAGUGAACCGGGAAGAGCUCAAAUUUGAAAUCUGGCGUCCUCAGGGCGUCCGAGUUGUAAUCUAUAGAGGCGUUUUCCGUGCCGGACCGUGUCCAAGUCCCUUGGAACAGGGUAUCAAAGAGGGUGACAAUCCCGUACUUGACACGACUACCGGUGCUCUGUGAUACGUCUUCUACGAGUCGAGUUGUUUGGGAAUGCAGCUCAAAAUGGGUGGUGAGUUCCAUCUAAAGCUAAAUAUUGGCGAGAGACCGAUAGCGAACAAGUACCGUGAGGGAAAGAUGAAAAGCACUUUGGAAAGAGAGUUAAACAGUACGUGAAAUUGUUGAAAGGGAAACGAUUGAAGUCAGUCGUGACCGAGAGGCUCAGCCGGCUCUGCCGGUGUAUUCCCCUCGGUCGGGUCAACAUCAGUUUUGUCCGGUGGAUAAGGGCGGCAGGAAUGUGGCACCCUCGGGUGUGUUAUAGCCUGCUGUCGCAUACACCGGGUGAGACUGAGGAACGCAGCUCGCCUUUAUGGCCGGGGCCCGCCCACGUACGAGCUUAGGAUGUUGACGUAAU